GGAGGAUCAUUACAGAGCUUCUAAGCUUAAGGGGGUAAAACCUCUGAGCGAGAACUCCACCCUUUGUUUACAUACCUUUGUUGCUUUAGCAGGCCCGCUCUCGAGCCGCCGGCAAUAGCUGGUCCGCGCCUGCUAGAGGACCUAAAACUCAUGUUAAUAAUAUUGUCUGAGUACUAUAAUAAUAGUUAAAACUUUCAACAACGGAUCUCUUGGUUCUGGCAUCGAUGAAGAACGCAGCGAAAUGCGAUAAGUAAUGUGAAUUGCAGAAUUCAGUGAAUCAUCGAAUCUUUGAACGCACAUUGCGCCCUCUGGUAUUCCGGGGGGCAUGCCUGUUCGAGCGUCAUUACAACCCUCAAGCUCUGCUUGGUAUUAGGCUCCACCUGCUACAGGCGGGCCUCAAAAUCAGUGGCGGUGCCUUCUGGCUUCAAGCGUAGUAACAUUUCUCGUUUGGGAGUACCGGUUGCGUACCUGCUAUAAAACCCCAAUUUUUAAAGGUUGACCUCGGAUCAGGUAGGGAUACCCGCUGAACUUAAGCAUAUCAAA
This 543-nucleotide ribosomal RNA is filed under the name Leotiomycetes sp. bc_besc_833f. RNAcentral's name for it is "eukaryotic LSU rRNA". The stretch from base 190 to 343 matches the Rfam family "5.8S ribosomal RNA". Lineage: Eukaryota; Fungi; Ascomycota; Leotiomycetes. The record is from RNAcentral.